GCCUGUGUGCUGAAAUUGGUAGACAGAGAAAACUUAAGCCUUUCUGAGUUAAACUCGUGAGUGUUCGAAUCACUCCCCAGGUA
RNAcentral lists this transfer RNA (83 nucleotides) under Hirsutella thompsonii. RNAcentral's name for it is "tRNA-Leu". Lineage: Eukaryota; Fungi; Ascomycota; Sordariomycetes; Hypocreales; Ophiocordycipitaceae. The record is from RNAcentral.